UACACAUGCAAGUCGAGCGGAUGACGGGAGCUUGCUCCUUGAUUCAGCGGCGGACGGGUGAGUAAUGCCUAGGAAUCUGCCUGGUAGUGGGGGACAACGUUUCGAAAGGAACGCUAAUACCGCAUACGUCCUACGGGAGAAAGCAGGGGACCUUCGGGCCUUGCGCUAUCAGAUGAGCCUAGGUCGGAUUAGCUAGUUGGUGGGGUAAUGGCUCACCAAGGCGACGAUCCGUAACUGGUCUGAGAGGAUGAUCAGUCACACUGGAACUGAGACACGGUCCAGACUCCUACGGGAGGCAGCAGUGGGGAAUAUUGGACAAUGGGCGAAAGCCUGAUCCAGCCAUGCCGCGUGUGUGAAGAAGGUCUUCGGAUUGUAAAGCACUUUAAGUUGGGAGGAAGGGCAGUAAGUUAAUACCUUGCUGUUUUGACGUUACCGACAGAAUAAGCACCGGCUAACUCUGUGCCAGCAGCCGCGGUAAUACAGAGGGUGC
Molecule: ribosomal RNA, 490 nt
Filed under: uncultured Pseudomonas sp.
Lineage: Bacteria; Pseudomonadati; Pseudomonadota; Gammaproteobacteria; Pseudomonadales; Pseudomonadaceae
Description: bacterial SSU rRNA
Rfam family: Bacterial small subunit ribosomal RNA
Source: RNAcentral